This 456-nucleotide ribosomal RNA is filed under the name uncultured bacterium. Its description in RNAcentral is "bacterial SSU rRNA". It matches the Rfam family "Bacterial small subunit ribosomal RNA", at positions 340 to 786 of the family's 1533-position model. The record is from RNAcentral.
UACGGGAGGCAGCAGUGGGGAAUAUUGCACAAUGGGCGAAAGCCUGAUGCAGCUAUGCCGCGUGUAUGAAGAAGGCCUUAGGGUUGUAAAGUACUUUCAUCGGGGAGGAAAAAACAAAACUAAUAAUUUUAUUUCUUGACGUUACCCGAAAAAGAAGCACCGGCUAACUCCGUGCCAGUAGCCGCGGUAAUACGGAGGGUGCUAGCGUUAAUCAGAAUUACUGGGCGUAAAGAGCACGUAGGUGGUUUUUUUAAGUCAGAUGUGAAAUCCCUGGGCUUAACCUGGAACUGCAUUUUGAAACUGAAAUACUAGAGUAUCGUAGAGGGAGGUAGAAUUCUAGGUGUAGCGGUGAAAUGCGUAGAUAUCUGGAGGAAUACCUGUGGCGAAAGCGGCCUCCUAAACGAAUACUGACACUGAGGGUGCGAAAGCGUGGGGAGCAAACAGGGAUUAGAUACC